UCAAGUUAACUCAAGUACUAGAGUAUGGGGGUGGGGGGAAAUGUACCGCAGCGUUAAUGAAAACUAGAGCUGAGAGAAUGUGUUUUCUUGAGUAAAUUGCAAAUGCCAGUGCGCCGCAUUUGUCCAGGAGGGAAGAAUGAGGGGCCCUGGUAGCAAAGCCAGUGGAAGAAGUUUUACUAGGAGCAGUUGUAUCAUUCGUGUACUUUUUUUGUGUCAUACAAGUGAGAGUAAAAUGGUCCGUGUCUGUGUUUUGAGGAAUUUUUUGCCUUUCUUUUCAGAAACUAAUUCUGAAGCAAGCCCUUAUUGUUGUGCUGCAGUGGUGUUUCAAUCACAAUUUUAGUGUUCGACUGUAUGCUUUAGUUGCUCUUAAGAAACUCUGGACUGUGUGUAAAGUGUUAAGUGUUGAAGAAUUUGAUGCCCUGACUCCUGUGAUUGAAUCCAGCCUCCAUCAAGUGGAAAGCAUGCACGGAGCAGGGAAUGCCAAGAAGAAUUGGCAACGCAUUCAAGAGCAUUUCUUUUUUGCAACAUUUCACCCACUCGAGGAUUAUUGUCUAGAGGCAGUGUCUGGCUUGUAAACAAUGGAAGGGAAUAUUUAACUCUAAACAGAAAUCUGUUCUGACAUUAAAAGGAAAUGAGUGAGAACAUUUGUGCAGACCAUAUUUUACAUCCUUCCACGCCUUUCAGGCCUUAUUGAAGAUGAGUGGAUCACCAUUGAUAAAUUUACCAGAUUCACUGAUGUUCCUUUAGAUGCGGGAUUUCAGUGGUACCUUUCUCAAACUCAACUUAGUAAACUAAAACCAGGUGACUGGUCUCAGCAAGACAUAGGUAGUAAUUUGGUCGAAGCAGAUAACCAAGCGGAGUGGACCGAUGUUCAGAAGAAGAUUAUCCCGUGGAACAGUCGUGUUCCUGACUUAGACCUGGAGCUCCUGUUUCAGGAUCGUGCUGCCAGACUUGGAAAGUCAAUUAGUAGACUCAUCGUCGUGGCCUCGCUCAUUGACAAACCGACCAAUUUAGGAGGACUGUGCAGGACCUGUGAGGUAUUUGGGGCUUCAGUGCUCGUUAUUGGCAGCCUUCAGUGUAUCAGCGACAAACAGUUUCAGCACCUCAGUGUCUCUGCAGAACAGUGGCUUCCUCUAGUGGAGGUAAAACCACCUCAGCUAAUUGAUUAUCUGCAGCAGAAGAAAACAGAAGGUUAUACCAUCAUUGGAGUGGAACAAACUGCCAAAAGUUUAGACUUAACCCAAUAUUGCUUUCCUGAGAAAUCUCUACUCUUGUUGGGAAAUGAACGUGAGGGAAUUCCAGCAAAUCUGAUCCAGCAGUUGGACGUUUGUGUGGAAAUUCCUCAACAGGGCAUUAUCCGUUCCCUGAACGUCCACGUGAGUGGAGCCCUGCUGAUCUGGGAGUACACCAGGCAGCAGCUGCUCUCACAUGGAGAUAACAAGCCAUGAUGUGCCUUCCUCAGUGAACCGCUGGUGCUGUUCAAACUUUUUUUAAAAAAACUAUUUGAACUAAAGAAACAGAUUCUGAAAUUUAUUGUGAUAAUUUGUAUUUCUUUUUUCUUGCAAUUUAAUGCCAAAAGUUUGCCAUGUGCCUUAAACAUAUUACUAUAUAUUUUCCCCUUUAAUAGACACUUUUUGUUAAAUUGUA
RNAcentral lists this small RNA (1647 nucleotides) under Pongo abelii (Sumatran orangutan). RNAcentral's name for it is "processed transcript". The record is from RNAcentral. Lineage: Eukaryota; Metazoa; Chordata; Mammalia; Primates; Hominidae.